GUCUUUUUGAUAAUAAUUUAAAGUCUAACCUGCCCAAUGAAUAUUUAAAUGGCCGCAGUAUUUUGACUGUGCAAAGGUAGCAUAAUCAUUAGUUUUUUAAUUGAAAGCUGGAAUGAAUGGUUGAACGAAAGAAUUACUGUCUCAAAUUAAUUUAAUUAAAAUUUUAUUUUUAAGUUAAAAAGCUUAAAUAUUUUUAAAAGACGAGAAGACCCUAUAGAGUUUAAUAUUUAAUUAUUUAAUUUUUUUUAUAAUUAUUAAUAAUUUAAUUAAAUAUUUUAUUGGGGUGAUAAAUAAAUUUAAUUAACUUUAUUUUAUUUUAAACAUAAAUUUAUGAAUUUUUGAUCCAUUAAUAAUGAUUAUAAGAUAAAAUUACCUUAGGGAUAACAGCGUUAUCUUUUUAGAGAGUUCAAAUCGAAAAAAAGGAUUGCGACCUCGAUGUUGGAUUAAAGUUAAUUUAUGGUGUAGAAGCUAUAAUAUUAAGUCUGUUCGACUUUUAAAACUUUACAUGAUCUGAGUUUAAACCGGCGUGAGCCAGGUUGGUUUCUAUCUUUAAAUAAUUUAAAUAUUUUAGUACGAAAGGACCAAAUAUUUAUAAAAUUUAUUUUAAUUUGACUAU
Molecule: ribosomal RNA, 616 nt
Filed under: Ochthebius gruwelli
Lineage: Eukaryota; Metazoa; Arthropoda; Insecta; Coleoptera; Hydraenidae
Description: partial 16S ribosomal RNA
Rfam family: Bacterial large subunit ribosomal RNA
Source: RNAcentral